ACGCUCGACACCUACGGGGGGCAGCAGUGGGGAAUAUUGCACAAUGGGGGAAACCCUGAUGCAGCAACGCCGCGUGAAGGAAGACGGUUUUCGGAUUGUAAACUUCUGUUCUUAGUGAAGAUAGUGACGGUAGCUAAGGAGCAAGCCACGGCUAACUACGUGCCUGCAGCCGCGGUAAUCUGAGCGGGCUGGCAAGGC
RNAcentral lists this ribosomal RNA (198 nucleotides) under uncultured bacterium. RNAcentral describes it as "partial 16S ribosomal RNA". It matches the Rfam family "Bacterial small subunit ribosomal RNA", at positions 328 to 539 of the family's 1533-position model. The record is from RNAcentral.